Molecule: long non-coding RNA, 1148 nt
Organism: Mauremys mutica (yellowpond turtle)
Lineage: Eukaryota; Metazoa; Chordata; Testudines; Geoemydidae
Exons: 4
Source: RefSeq, a predicted model, not a curated record
GACUCUACCAUCUCUAGCAGCUUGAUUUGAUAGUGUCUUCUUCUCUUCAGGAUAGAUGUAGCAUGACAGGAUGGCCAGAUCGCUCAGAUGGAGACAGGACCUCAAGGCAGGACCAGAUGAGCGUCUUCUCAGGCUGGGCAACUUCUGGAGAACACAAACUUCUGGAGAACAUGGUACCAGAAUGGAAAAGAGAGGUGACUUUCCAAUCCUGUGAAAGAGAUCCAGCAAUCUACAGCAGAGAGAUGUUUCUGUUAAUAGACACCCCACUACAUAUUGUGAAUGGAGAGGUUUGGUCAUAUAUGAAGGUAGACCAAGCAGAUGUGUGCUGCUGUUGAACAUCAAGACCCAGCUGAAGUUUCUGCUACAUUAGAAGUUUGCUGAAAUAUGUUUACAGGAUUGGGGGACAAUUCAACUGGAAAUUGACUAUAUUCUCAGCUAAGAUCUAGAGUUUCCUUGCAAAGGUAGAUGCAAACCAGAAACACCAUCUACCCCAUCUCUCCCCCACCCCCGCAUUGGCAUCACUAGAAAAUCCAGCCCCUAUGCCUGCCGAACAAUGGUGAAAUGGACAGGGAAAGAAAGAGACAUCACAACUUUAUUUCAUUUCCCGGAGUCUCAGAUCAGUACCACCUCUCCACCGCAAAGGGACAUCAUACUGUGUUUGACUAUUAGGUCUUCCGGCGCAUUCACUGAGGUCCCUGCAGCCUCCUCACCCUGCCUCUUUUUGGCAUCCUGUCAGACAAUGAGGCUGUUAGGCUUAACAAGGGGGUCGUAAGCCACUUGAGACUCUGUACUGGGAGCCCUGACAGCACCUGGUCCAGCUCAUCGUAAAAGGGUCUCAAGAGAAGAGGCAGUAGUUCGAUAUGUGGAGCUUCAGAGCUGGUGGGAGAAGUACAGGCCUGAUCAGCUUUCACAAAGUGACCAUCCAGGCCACCGAGGUCCAUAUGCUUCCAGCCCUUAAGCACACAGACGGAAGCAGAUGGCCAGAGAUUGGAGAGAAGAAGGUAAAGGAAACCUUCAAUCCAUCCCCCAACACUAAGAGCUGUGCAGAGAAUUCUGGACAAGUGUGCAGCCUAGCAGAGGACAUGGACAGUGGACUGUCUAAUGGUCAUUAAGAGCUAUAACAGCCUUGAGCAGAAAUUAUGGCAACU